Molecule: ribosomal RNA, 264 nt
Filed under: uncultured Oscillospiraceae bacterium
Lineage: Bacteria; Bacillati; Bacillota; Clostridia; Eubacteriales; Oscillospiraceae
Description: partial 16S ribosomal RNA
Rfam family: Bacterial small subunit ribosomal RNA
Source: RNAcentral
UCCAAGGGAAACAGAGGACAGUGGCGGACGGGUGAGUAACACGUGAGCAACCUGCCUAUCAGAGGGGGAUAACGGCUGGAAACGGUCGCUAAUACCGCAUGACGUGUUCGGAUGGCAUCAUCUGAACAUCAAAGAUUUAUCGCUGAAAGAUGGCCUCGCGUCUGAUUAGCUAGUUGGCGGGGUAACGGCCUACCAAGUCUACGAUCAGUAGCCGGACUGAGAGGUUGAACGGCCACAUUGGGACUGAGAUACGGCCCAGACUCC